CAGCAGCAUUAAAGGUCAGGGUCAAUCUCCCUCUUAGACACCAGCUUUGGCUCUCCAUGUGCUCCAGCAGCUGACACUGCCGGAAGUGAGAAGAGAGAAGGAAAUGGCUGGGAACCUCCAGGAGCAUGCUGAUAUGGAAAAUCCCACCACCUCUGUACUUCAGAGAUGCUGCAAUCAUGUUUUCUAAAACAGUGUUAAGUAAGAGCUGGGGAGAAUUAUCCACAAGACACAGAAUUCUUGUAACCUUUUGCUAUCUAGCCACGUAGGGGGACAUUUUUCUCUUCUGUUUAACUUGCCUGUUAUUUCCUCCUUCUGGCAUUUAUUAAUCAGACUGGUUAACCAUUCAGUCCAGCCUAAAAACAGAUCUCACCACAAAUCCUGUUCUCUGUGGUGGACUCAGAAAAGGCUCUGGCUGAACAAACUCACUUCUCCUGUCUUAACUCUGAAGGGCAGAGCUAAAUGCUGGAGAUAGAUGUUCACCAUAAAAUUCACACUACAGGCUUCCUGUUUGGAGCAGCCAGUAGUGCUAGGGACACUAGAGUUUCCAUUUGUACACCAUCUCUGUUUUGACAGGGCCCUUCAUGAUUCAUCAGCAAUUUGGAUGCUUCUGGCUAUGCAGUAUUCACUGCACCCAUCCCAUUCCUGAUAAACAGAUCCAGGAGCUCUAAUCACAGGGGUAGUGUACUCAAUAACCAUUGCUCUUUAAUUGUUUAUGAUCUUUAUCUCUUUCCCUCCAAGGGUUUUUCCUGUGGGAGGACCAGUGUUUCUCUUUGAACUGACUUUUCCUUUCAACAUUUAUCAUUCAGGACUGCUCAAGUGCUGUUUCAGUGCAGAAGCCGCUUGCAAACUAUUUGUAGCAGCUGCCUUUUUGGAAGUUUGCUGUUUGCAGUGCUUGAUCCCUCACUUAAACUACCCAACACUGUCUUUCCAUCUGUGCACAAGUCCCCUGCACCACACACCAUGCUUCUGGGGAGCUGGUGUGCAUCUGGCCUCCUGCCCCUACUGUUUUGUGUCUGACCCUGGGGGAGUAUUUCAGUGUGCUGCAGGACUCCUGAGCAGUGUCUAAGGAGAGGUGAACCACAGCCAGUCAUGAUGUUUGGGUUAGGGGCUGAUACUGGCUCCAGUGGGACUGCCUGCACCCCUAGGACUGCUCCUUCUGCCUAAGAGCUCUGCACAGAAAGCCUCAGAGCACUUAGAACAUGAACAUGUGUUUGGGAUGGAGGAACAAGUGAAAAAUAGCAUGAGGCAGAAAGGAAAGCUACAGAUUAUUUCCAUCAGCAGAGCUGUCGUGUCCCAUGGCUUAUGUGUGUUCUCUUGUAAUAUGGGAAUAAUUACUCGAUGGCUGUCUCCAGUUGUGUCUGAUUAUUAAAAUCAAUAAUGCAUA
This is a long non-coding RNA of Haemorhous mexicanus (house finch), 1384 nucleotides long. RefSeq lists it as uncharacterized. The transcript has 2 exons. The record is from RefSeq and is a predicted model, not a curated record. NCBI's taxonomy places the organism in Eukaryota, Metazoa, Chordata, Aves, Passeriformes, Fringillidae.